RNAcentral lists this long non-coding RNA (867 nucleotides) under Callithrix jacchus (white-tufted-ear marmoset). RNAcentral's name for it is "lncRNA (ENSCJAG00000076888.1)". The record is from RNAcentral. Lineage: Eukaryota; Metazoa; Chordata; Mammalia; Primates; Cebidae.
CCCUGAAGUAGUGCUUUGCAGGGACAGCAGGGAAGUUCUCAAUCAGGACUGGAGCACUUUCUGACGACCUAGUUUAACAACUUCCUUGGACACUUGGGGAAACUGAGGCCCAAGAAGAGGCGGCAGGCACUUUCCCUGUGAUUUUUUUUUCUUCUACCAAAUACUACUUUGGUCCAAGUGGAAAACACUUUCCUUGGGCGCCUAGUGUGGGGAGGACAUUGCUGGGGUCCAGACUCCCUCCCUACCCACGAGUGCCGCGCUCUUUUCACUUUUAUUCCCCCAGCCUCCCCGGAUCGGCGGCCUGGAUGUGAUCGACACCAUGAAGUUGCCCCAUAAUCCUCUCUGGCAACAUAGGAUGUAAAAUUUGAUCAGCUCAUUGGAUGAAGCCGACAAGUCCCAAAUAUGUGUGAAAAGGGGGCUAAGAGGAAAUUAUCUGGGCAGAGUGGACUGCAGGAACCCAGGCCCUACAGUGGAAAAGAAAGGGAUGUACUAGAGGGACAAGAGAAGGCUGGUGGUGCCCACUGAAGAAACUGAUGAUCACGAGCUCCUGGAGGGCAGAAACUGCAGUUUAUUCAUCUCUAUCCCCCAUGGGCUGCACGCAGGGCCCCGCACAUCGUAAGCACUCAAUAAACUGCUUGUUGAAUUGAAUUAUUACUCUCCACCACUGUUGUUGUGAUUGGCAUUCGUCCAUUUAGUCCAUUUGCCCCUUAAAAAUCUCCUGCCAAGACUCAAAAGUAAAGAUGCACAAGUACAAAGAGACACAUUUUUAACAGUUGAUGUUUUUUACUUGUUUCAUUUAAAAUGGACUCAAAUGAAAAGAAAUGUUUUCUUAAGUCUUGCCGGCUAGACAGAAAAGGUUAUCAGCAG